GGGCCAGUACUGGUUUCGACGGGGGUUUUGAAGCUUUGGAAGCCAUCGGUGAGAGUCUGGACUCACCUAAAUAAACGGAUAACUAAAUAUAAACGCUGAUAAUAACGAAUUAGCAUUUGCUGCCUAACGUGCAGCACGUC
RNAcentral lists this non-coding RNA (140 nucleotides) under Lachnospiraceae bacterium. Lineage: Bacteria; Bacillati; Bacillota; Clostridia; Lachnospirales; Lachnospiraceae. The record is from RNAcentral.